Molecule: ribosomal RNA, 253 nt
Filed under: uncultured bacterium
Lineage: Bacteria
Description: partial 16S ribosomal RNA
Rfam family: Bacterial small subunit ribosomal RNA
Source: RNAcentral
UACAGAGGGGGCAAGCGUUGUUCGGAAUUACUGGGCGUAAAGGGCGCGUAGGCGGCCUGUUAAGUCGAACGUGAAAUCCCUGGGCUCAACCCAGGAACUGCGUCCGAGACUGGAAGGCUCGAAUCCGGGAGAGGGAUGUGGAAUUCCAGGUGUAGCGGUGAAAUGCGUAGAUAUCUGGAGGAACACCGGUGGCGAAGGCGGCAUCCUGGACCGACACUGACGCUGAGGCGCGAAAGCUAGGGGAGCAAACGGG